CCUCAGGUGUUGUGAGUAACGACGCCUUCUCCCACUGACACUGCAGAAUCCACUACUGCCGAUUAAAACCGGGCUGAGGCAGAAAUUGAUUCCUCAGCCCCAGUUUGCAGCCAAUCCCGCCUUAAUUGAGUUACAGGACGACACAUCAGCAUCCUGCCUCGUGGCGUCACUGAUACAUGAACUCUCCGCGGCUCACAGAAGUUGGAAAUUUUCCUCUCUUGCAGCAAUAAGAGGCAGACGAAGAUUUCUAACCCAGCCAGACAUCAAGAUAAACCUUUCUCAUUACUGCUGAUUGGACACACACAGAGGUAUGAUUUACUGUUAUGAAUCUUGUGUUUGGGGAAGCGAGUUUAAAUGAGUGUAAAAUGUGCACCUUUUUUGUGAGCCCCUCAGCGGCAAGAUUUCUGCUCUUAUUUAAAAUUUCUCUACAUUCAGAAAAUAUGUUUGAUGUGCUGCAAAAAACAUACUCCUGCUGGAGGCACUCUUGAGUCACCAUUAUAGUGAUUUUUUUUUCCAAAAAUCUUAUCCUUCUUUCAUAUUUUGUUGGAGUUGGAGUAUGAAAGAAUAUGUUCUAAAUAUUGAGGGGGAUGUAUCCCUUGUGUCCUCCCUGAAAUCCACACUUGCACCGCUGAUUUCCCACCAUAGUUUGCUAGUAGUGCCACAUUCUUCCGGCAUAUGUUUGCAAUUAAAAAAAAAUCUUUCUGGCAAUAACGGUUUCUAGCAGACAUUUAUAGUUGUAGCAAUGCUGACACAAUUUUAUAUUCCAUGGUUUAAAUAUCCUGUUCCAUAUUAAAAGUAUAACUAUGGCAGGUUUAGGGCAAUUUCAUAUUAUAUGUACUUUUUAUAACAUUUAAAGAUUUCCUUGGUAGUGCGGUGGUUUGCCAUGUUGUAUCACAACAAGAAGGUUGUGGAUUUGAAUGUGACGGCUGGAUGUUCUUCCUGUGCCUUUGUGGGUUUCCUCCUGCUUCCUUCCACAGUCCAAAGACAUGCAUAAUAGAUUAAAUGGUGAUUCUACAUGGGCCAUUGGUAUGAAUGUGAGCAUGAAUGGUUGUCUGUCUAUGUCAAACUGUACUGCUGCAAAGUUUUCCAUGUUUGCCAGAAGUGUACAGAAGUUUAUAUGAAAAUAUGACGUUGCCAAAUGUUAACUGUUUGCCAGAAAAAUAACAUUUUCACGAGAGAGCUAUUAAGCUUUCCAAUUAGAUUGAAGAUUAUUUCCCAAGAUGUUCUUGUGAAGUAGCCUAAAACCACAAGUCUCCGGUAAAAUGCACACAUCCUAACAGCAUUAGUUUGCUGUUGUGAAGAUGACACUGGAAUGAAUAUGUGACGUGUUUGUCUUGAAUCUUUCUUCAGAUUAGCUUUUGUAGUAUAAAUCACACAAAAAGCAACUUUAUUUAAAUUAAUACAAUAUCUUAUUUAGAUGUUUGCUGUAGAGAAACACUGUGUGGGGCAAUACGAGACAGUGAAGUGCCAGUGCUGAAUGUUUUUUUCUAAUGUAAUCACAUAAAGCAAUGUGAUAAAUGUAUGAUUCCUUGGAAAUAACUAUGUGACUGGUUGCCAUUAUCUAUAAUCUUAACUGGUAUAACUACGACAUGCCAAGAAUGCUAAUUGUUGACCUCUUAUAAUACACAACAGUUAGUUAUGGAUUUCCACGUGAUUCCUGUACCAGGAGUGACACUGUUCACCUUGUACAUGCUCCCCUUUGCCAGUUUUUAUAGGAAACAUGUCAUGACUUCCAUUGCUAUGCAGAUGACACCCAGUUCUAUUCAUCUAUGAAACCAGAAGAAGCUACUCAGUCAGACUCCAAGCAAAGCAGAAAAACACUGAGUAGUUACUCUGGAUGCCAUUAUGUUGGCCUCCAAUAAAAUUGUGAGGAAUCUUGGAGUUCUGUUUGACCAGAAUAUGUCCUUUAACACGAAUAAAAUACAAUCUCGGAGGUCGCCUUCUUUCAUCUGUGCAAUACUGUCAAAAUUAGGAGCCUCUUGCUUCAGGGUGACGCUGAAAAACUAGCCAUUUGUUGCUUCUCAGUUGGACUAUUGUAACUCUUUAUGAUCACUAUGCCCCAGCAUCACUUUGAAAAUCAAAGGGAGCGACAGAAUCACCAAUAUUAGCUUCUUUUCAUUGGUUCCUUAUAUAAUCAGGAAUAGAAUUGGAAAUCCUUGUCCAAGCUCCAUUUUAACUUACAGAUGUUAUGCCACUAUAUUACCCCAGUAGAGCUCUUUGCUCUCAGACUGCAGGUUUAAUUGUGGAUCCUACAGUUUCUAAAAGCAAAAUGUUGUGCAGUCUUCAGCUAACAGCUCCUCUGCUGUGGAAUCAGCUCCUAGUUUGAGUUCAGGAGGCACACACCCUCUGUAUUUAUUAGGCUUAGAACUUUCUCUUUUGACAAAGCUAGUUACUGUUGACUCAGGUGACCUGCACCAUUCAUUAGUUAUGCUGCUACAGACACCGACAGCUGGGGGACUUCCCAUGAAGCAUUGAGCGCAUCUCUACUCUCCGUUUGUUCACUUUCCAUUGAUUUUAACAGAUUUUCUGUUUGGUUCUCUCUGUAGGUAUUUCUGGCUCUGGAGCUACACAUUUCUGACCUGCAGUGACUGGCCUCACCAACCCCUCUGCUUUUUAGUCUCCCAUUUUCCUUCAACCCAACCAGUCAGUACAGAUGAACACCCUCCCUGAGCCCAGUUCUGCAGGGAGUCUGUUGAUCCCACUGUGGUCAAAGAGUCACUCAAAGGGAAUCACUGGAUUUGUUGGGUUCCUUUCUAUAACCUAAUGUUAAGUCUUGAUCUUACAGUUUAAAAUACUCUGGCAAGAAUCAAAACUUAUAAACAACUUAAUCAGACUAAAUAACCUACCUGAGAAGUUUGAAUCAAGUUAGUGAAGGGUGUUUUUCCUUGCCACUGUCGCCUUUGGGCUUGCUCUGGGGGUCAGGCAUAUGGGUUCUGUAAAGCGUCUUGAGACGAUUUGACUGUAAUUGACGCUAUAUAAAUAAAAUUGAAUUGAAUUGAAAAAA
Molecule: long non-coding RNA, 3004 nt
Organism: Acanthochromis polyacanthus (spiny chromis)
Lineage: Eukaryota; Metazoa; Chordata; Actinopteri; Pomacentridae
Exons: 2
Source: RefSeq, a predicted model, not a curated record